ACCGGGGCUUCGGCCCCGGGGACAGCGGCGAACGGGUGAGUAACACGUGGAUAACCUGCCCUCGGCACCGGAAUAGCCCGGGGAAACCCGGAUUAAUGCCGGAUAGCCCCACAUCCCUGCGGGGAACGUGGGAAAAGGUAGCUUCGGCCUCUGGCCGAGGAUGGGUCCGCGGUGGAUUAGCUUGUUGGUGCGGGUAAUGGCCCACCAAGGCGACGAUCCAUAGCUGGUCUGAGAGGACGAUCAGCCACACUGGGACUGAGACACGGCCCAGACUCCUACGGGAGGCAGCAGUGGGGAAUCUUGCGCAAUGGGCGAAAGCCUGACGCAGCGACGCCGCGUGAGGGAUGACGGCCUUCGGG
This 359-nucleotide ribosomal RNA is filed under the name uncultured bacterium. RNAcentral's name for it is "bacterial SSU rRNA". It matches the Rfam family "Bacterial small subunit ribosomal RNA", at positions 71 to 422 of the family's 1533-position model. The record is from RNAcentral.